Molecule: RNA transcript, 4387 nt
Organism: Cornus florida
Lineage: Eukaryota; Viridiplantae; Streptophyta; Magnoliopsida; Cornales; Cornaceae
Gene name: disease resistance protein At4g27190-like
Exons: 6
Source: RefSeq, a predicted model, not a curated record
UAUCUAAUUCAUCUUUUUCACGAGUCUUCACAGGCCAAGAAAAGCAUCUUUUGAUAUAUAAAACACACGAGACAACUUGCAUCUUUUGAUAUAUUGCUUCCUUGUGAAGUACAAACAAUCCCAAUAAAAGAAGAUGCAACUCAUGAAUUAUUCCUUUCUUUAGUCUCUCUCUCUCUAAAUCAAUAGAUAUAUAUAUAUAAGUAAGUUUGUGUAUGCAAGAAAGUAUAUUACUCUUGAACUCCGGUUUGCGCUUCAAUCCAUAUUUCCAUAAAGCUGUCCACCAGGGCAACAUUUAGCAAAUAAAAAUUUUGUCGCAAUUCCAGCUACUCAACUGCUUUGGUGCAUUGAAGUUAUUUGCAUUGAAAUAAGAUAAAAAAUUUGUCACAAUUCCAGGCACUCAAUUCCUUUGAUACUGUGAAGUUAUUUGAAUUGAAAUAAGAGGCAAUGGAGUUGAUUCAACCUUUGUACGAUAUUGUGAAAAACAUGUGCACACCCAUUUGUAGACGUGUGGAUUAUGCGAUAAACCUGUCAAAGAAUUUCACAGAGCUGAGCGGGAGAGUAAAAAAAUUAUGCGACAGGAGGGAUGACAUUAUAUAUCAGAUUGACCUUGUUAAGCUACAAAAGGGUCCUACAAGAGAAUGCAAUGGCUGGCUUGAAAGGGUGGAUGAGAUUGAUAAGAAGACGAAAGAAGAUGAGCAGCUCAUUGGCAAAAGAUGUUUUAAUGGAUGGUUUCCAGAUGUCAUUUCUUGUGUGAAGCUCGGUAAGCAUGUGGUGGAAAUGAUCGAGCAGGUUAAAGAGCUCCAAGAGGAAUCCAGGUUUGAAGACGGUUUUGUCAUUGAUUUGCCACCAAAAAUAGUUGAGGAGAGGCCUGUUGAUGCUUUGAUAAUGGGGAAUUCAACUAAUCUCACCUUGCAAAAGAUACGAGAUUCCAUAAGAGAUGAGGGUGUCCAAAAGAUUGGAAUUUGGGGCAUGGGUGGGGUGGGAAAGACAACCUUAAUGAAUGUCUUGAAUAAUGAGCCUGAAAUUCAAACUAUGUUUCAUAUUGUAAUAUGGGUAACUGUCUCAAAAUCUUGGAGCAUUAGGAAGAUUCAAGAAGAAGUUGCACUGCGCUUGUCAUUACUGGAUGUAAAGGAUAAACCAGAUGACAGAGUUUCAAUAAUGUUGUUUGAGAAACUCAAGGGCAAGAAGUAUUUGUUGCUUCUGGAUGAUGUUUGGGAAGAAGUGGAUUUGAGUAGAGUGGGUAUACCAAGUCCAAGUCAAGAGAAGGGUUGCAAAAUUGUUCUGACAACCAGAAAAAUUCGAGUUUGUCAAAAAAUGUCAACUGAUAAGGAGAUCAAAGUGGAAGUUUUGGACCAAAGUGAAGCAUGGGAAUUGUUUAACUCAAAAGCGGGAGAAAUCUCAUUGCUCCCAACCAUCAAGCCGAUUGCUGAAAAAAUCGUCAGAAAGUGUGGUGGCUUACCACUUGCACUAAAAGUAGCAGGUGGGGUGUUGAGAAUGGUUGAAGAUGUAAGCGUGUGGCGUAAUUUUUUGAACAAGUUGAAUUCACCAGCUAUGUCUUUCAUUGAAGAUAUGAAUGAGGAUGUGUUCAGGUCAUUGAAGGUCAGUUACCACGCGUUGAAGGAUGACAGCAUCAAGAAUUGUUUUCUGUAUUGUGGCUUGUGUCCGGAAGAUGAAAAGAUUAAAAAAUCUCGGCUGAUCACUUAUUGGAGAGCGGAGGGGUUUCUUUGGAGUAAAGGGACUUUGAAAGAUGCUUAUGAUGAUGGGCGUGCGAAAUUACAUGACCUUAUUGGUGCAUCUCUGUUGGAGAAGUGUGAGGAUGAAAAACAUGUAAAGAUGCAUGAUGUGGUUCGAGAUUUAGUUCUGAUGAUGACUUCUGCAGGAGGAGAGGAGAGCAGGUUCAUGGUGAGAGCGGGACUGUCCAUGACGUCCCUGCAGGAAAUACCUGAUAUUGAUGAUAAGGAAUGGGAAGAAGCAAGUAGGAUUUCAUUUAUGAAUGCCGAGGGAUACAAAUUACCAGAGAAGCCAAAAUGUCCCAAGCUGUCAACAUUGCUGCUUCAGCCACGUGGAUAUUAUCUGGAGGCAAUACCUGAAUGUUUCUUCAAUCACAUGCCUAACCUUCGACUUUUGGAUCUAUCAAGAAGUGGCAUCUCCUCAUUGCCAUCUUCCAUCUCAAAUUUGGUCAGCCUUCGAGCAUUGCUUCUGAAAGGAUGCGAGUAUUUACAUGCUCUCCCUGAGGAAGUAAGUGUGCUCCAGAGACUUGAGGUGCUCCAUGUCAGUCAUGCGUACAAAACGAAAUGGGGACUGAAGGUUCGGACUAACCUUUCCUCAAAAAGUGGGAUAUUGUGGAAGUUGACCAGCCUUAAAAGUUUGAAAUUUUCACCUCUAAGUUUGAGAGUCACCAGAGAUGGGAUGGUUCCUUCUAGUGUGACCAUAUCCAGACUUUCCCUGCUUCAAGAAUUGAGUAUUAAAACGAUGGAAUUGAGUAUUAGACGGUUAAAAGGGGAUGAUGAAGAAAGUUUGGAAACUUUUGCAAAAGAGGUUGGCAGCUUGACUCGGCUCUCUUCACUUAAAUUCCACUUCAGAACAAUGAAUUGUCUGAAACACUUUAUCCAUAACAGCCAACCAUGGAGAGAUCGUACCAUACAGAAAUUCCAAUUCUAUGUUGGAGAAUUUCUGACAUCAUCAAAUCUUCCCAAAAUAUUUGAGAGGUACCUGUUAUUUGAGCCGGAGUAUAAGGAUGAUGGGGGAGUAACUUCUGAAGAAAUUAAGGAGGUACUCAUACGUUCGGAGUAUUUUUACCUAGAGGGUUGUCAAACCCUUCAAAUACUAUCAGAAUUGGGCGCGGAAACAGUUAAUGGGUUAAAAGGUUUAUCCGUCAGUUUUGGUAUUAAUGAAUAUAUGAUAGAUGAAGAUGGAUUGCGAGGGAAUGUUUUUGAAAACUUAGAAUACCUUCGAUUGAAUUGCUUACAUAGUUUUAGGGGCAUCUGCUGCGACAAAUUACCAAUGCAAUUAAGCAGCAGCACCAAUAGCUUCACUAAACUGAAGGACUUGAAAAUAAUUCGAUGCCAUUCAACGAAGAAGGUGUUCUCAUGGGGAUUGAUUCCGCAACUCCUUAAUUUGGAAUCAUUGGAAAUUAUUAAUUGUUUGGGAAUGGAGGAGAUAAUUUCAGCUGAUUUCGACGAGAGGGAGGAGGACAACAGGAGGCUUGAACACGUGAACCUACCCAAUUUGAAGCUUUUGGAUCUUUGGGUUGUACCAGAAUUGGUUGGCUUCUCCAAGAGGAAGAGGAACCAUCUGUACUUGCAUUGCCCCUCCUUAGAGGAGGUUAGUUUUUACAAAUGUCCAAAACUGGAUAUCUUUCCUUUUGGCAUCGACAGUGCACCUCAUUUGAGAAAGAUUAAAGGAGAACCGAAAUGGUGGGAAGCAUUAAAAUGGGAAGACGACGCCACUAAAUCACGAUUCGCCCCUCUCUUCCAUAUAUACAUGGGACGUUGAUUCCUCCCAAUGACGUUGUAGUCCCUGCAGACAGUGUUCAGGGAAUAUUGUUAACGGCAGAAAUUUAGAGACAUUUUUGUAUGCUGAGGAGUUUUGUCAAAAUUCAGAUGGUAAGGGCAGACAUUAGGGUACGCUUCUUCAAAGUCUCAUAAAUUUACGUUGCUUCAAAUUACUGCAUCAACUUUAACCGAUAGCAAUAUUUUGUGACCAAGAUAGAUCAACAGGAUUUGAUGCCGAUAUGGACCAUUUAAUGUGGGACUUAGCUCUCAAAUGUCUUUCCAGCUCUCCGUCUCUGCUCACUGUUGUGGAGUUUGGUUACCGGCCUCUUCAAGGAAAUGAUAUGAUUUUAUAUCUGUUUUCUUCUUUGCGUAUGUCAUGGAAGGUGUUGAGUUGUUCUGCUACAGCAACUAACAGUUUCUCAAAUCUCUAUGUUGAUUAUGUAUUUGAUAAGGAGCGACUGAUACUUAUUUGCUUAAUAACUUAUAUUUGUAUAUAUUGUCUUAAGGUUGUUUGAUUUGAGCUCAUCCCAUUUAUAUCAUUUCAUGUAAUCGAUGAGCUGACCAGUAGCUAAAGACCUCUAUGCUUUGUUAUUAUUUUAUGUACUUUAUUCAUCAACAAAAUCUGUGUAAGCAGAGUUUGUGACUGCUGAUAUUAUGAAAAUUGUGAAGUGUUAUAAACUAUUGUGAAAAUUGUGAAGUAUUAUGAAAAUUGUGAAGUGUUAUAAACUAUUAAAGCAUGUUAUUGUUUUCAUAUAUUGCAUAGUAAAUUUAUUUUCCUAUUACACAUUGGUUUCAUUGAAAAGACAAGAUUGCAUUAGGCCUUUAACUUUUUUGGUGCGAGGCAUAGUAUUUUGUCAACUUGGACCUUCCUGCUCAUUUUCUUGGACAAGGUA